Molecule: long non-coding RNA, 227 nt
Filed under: Elaeis guineensis (African oil palm)
Lineage: Eukaryota; Viridiplantae; Streptophyta; Magnoliopsida; Arecales; Arecaceae
Description: long non-coding RNA (EGUI_LNC025585)
Source: RNAcentral
AACAGUGGAGAUUUUUCCUUUUUUUUGUUUGAUGUAGUGGAAACCAUGAAGACCCAUUUAGAAUCAUAAUUUAUAUGUCUUCACAACAUGCACAGGUCACAAAAGAAAAUAGAAAUGAGCAAUGAAAACAGGGCAUGUGCACAAGCUGUAAAAAAUGUAAGGAUUUCACUGCUUCUUAAUUGACAUGAGGAACCUCUUCCUCUCUGAUUCCUCCUACAAAGAAACCA